RNAcentral lists this ribosomal RNA (883 nucleotides) under Staphylococcus pseudintermedius. Its description in RNAcentral is "partial 23S ribosomal RNA". It matches the Rfam family "Bacterial large subunit ribosomal RNA", at positions 1239 to 2120 of the family's 2925-position model. The record is from RNAcentral. Lineage: Bacteria; Bacillati; Bacillota; Bacilli; Caryophanales; Staphylococcaceae.
UUCUAAGGGCGUUGAAGCAUGAUCGCAAGGACAUGUGGAGCGCUUAGAAGUGAGAAUGCCGGUGUGAGUAGCGAAAGACGGGUGAGAAUCCCGUCCACCGAUUGACUAAGGUUUCCAGAGGAAGGCUCGUCCGCUCUGGGUUAGUCGGGUCCUAAGCUGAGGCCGACAGGCGUAGGCGAUGGAUAACAGGUUGAUAUUCCUGUACCACCAUUAUUCGUUUUAAGCGAUGGGGGGACGCAGUAGGAUAGGCGAAGCGUGCUGUUGGAGUGCACGUCCAAGCAGUGAGAUUGAGUGUUAGGCAAAUCCGGCACUCUUAAGAUUGAGCUGUGAUGGGGAGAGGAACUUGUUCCUCGAGUCGUUGAUUUCACACUGCCGAGAAAAGCCUCUAGCUAGAAUAACGGUGCCCGUACCGCAAACCGACACAGGUAGUCAAGAUGAGAAUUCUAAGGUGAGCGAGCGAACUCUCGUUAAGGAACUCGGCAAAAUGACCCCGUAACUUCGGGAGAAGGGGUGCUCUUUGAGGUUCACGCUUCGAAGAGCCGCAGUGAAUAGGCCCAAGCGACUGUUUAUCAAAAACACAGGUCUCUGCUAAACCGUAAGGUGACGUAUAGGGGCUGACGCCUGCCCGGUGCUGGAAGGUUAAGAGGAGUGGUUAGCGCAAGCGAAGCUACGAAUCGAAGCCCCAGUAAACGGCGGCCGUAACUAUAACGGUCCUAAGGUAGCGAAAUUCCUUGUCGGGUAAGUUCCGACCCGCACGAAAGGCGUAACGAUUUGGGCACUGUCUCAACGAGAGACUCGGUGAAAUCAUAGUACCGGUGAAGAUGCCGGUUACCCGCGACAGGACGGAAAGACCCCGUGGAGCUUUACUGUAGCCUGAUAUUGA